RNAcentral lists this ribosomal RNA (253 nucleotides) under uncultured bacterium. Its description in RNAcentral is "partial 16S ribosomal RNA". It matches the Rfam family "Bacterial small subunit ribosomal RNA", at positions 524 to 776 of the family's 1533-position model. The record is from RNAcentral.
UACGUAGGGUGGGAGCGUUAAUCGGAAUUACUGGGCGUAAAGCGUGCGCAGGCGGCUUUGCAAGACAGAUGUGAAAUCCCCGGGCUCAACCUGGGAACUGCAUUUGUGACUGCAAGGCUAGAGUACGGCAGAGGGGGAUGGAAUUCCGCGUGUAGCAGUGAAAUGCGUAGAUAUGCGGAGGAACACCAAUGGCGAAGGCAAUCCCCUGGGCCUGUACUGACGCUCAUGCACGAAAGCGUGGGGAGCAAACAGG